UACCCAUGGUUCUUGCUUGCUUUCCUGGU
This 29-nucleotide non-coding RNA is filed under the name Mus musculus (house mouse). The record is from RNAcentral. Lineage: Eukaryota; Metazoa; Chordata; Mammalia; Rodentia; Muridae.